Molecule: long non-coding RNA, 392 nt
Organism: Scaptodrosophila lebanonensis
Lineage: Eukaryota; Metazoa; Arthropoda; Insecta; Diptera; Drosophilidae
Exons: 4
Source: RefSeq, a predicted model, not a curated record
GUGCCCCCCAAAAAAACAUUGUUGUUGUUGCGAGCCACCAGGUGGAUCACUGACCAUUGCAAUCAUAGAUUGGUUUUUGGUGGCGUUCCACAUUUUUUUUGUUAUUUUGCAUAUAUUAGGAAAUACCAAAUCGGUAUUCUCGUAUAUAGCCUUAAUUGUAUACUUUGCCCAUUGCAUAGGAUGUACACUGGUAAUAAUAUCAUAUUUCUGGCGAAAGAAGGUACUACCCAUGAUUUAUUUAAUUACUGGAUUUUUUCGCCUUUUUUUAAUAAUAAUUUCCACAAUUAUAAAUAUCAUAAACCUGACAUGUAUAAUACCCCUGAUAUUUAUAAUAUUUCAAUUAACAGUGAUUGGUCUAGGUAUUUACUUCUGGAUAUGCAUUUACUUCUGGU